AAACGAAAGGCUGGAGAUUACCAGGAUAAGUGCAUGGCGGCCGCCUCAGUGAUAGGGCCCCGUCACCCACCCCAUCCAUAUCACUAGCGACUCCUCAGCCUGGACCAAGCAUCUCUCCAGUCCAGGGGAGAAGGAGGUUAGAGGAUAAAAAAUGCACUGAAGAGAUAAAACCGACAGAACUCGGAGGGUGAUUGGGAAAGGAAGCGCUCAGAAGAUUGUGAUUCUAAGCCUGGAUAACUGGAAAGAUGAUAAUGUGAUUAGGGGCUGCCAACAGAAUUAGAUUUAUUGGGAAAGGGAUGAGGCGAGAGUUAGUCUGGGACACAGAGGACUUUGCGGUGCUUAAGGGUGAUGUCUAAAAGCCCAGGAUGUGUCCGACAGGCAGACCACACUGGGUGCCCGUGAAGCACAUGCUCUGAUCGGACAUUGCAGCUGCUCUUCAAAGAGCCUGAGGCUGACCCUUGGCCUUUAGGUCUCCUAGUCCGGCUACUUCCUGUUUAUCUUGUAAUAUUUAAGUAGUGAUUUUAUAAAGACUCUUUGUUAAGUGGGUGCUGGUGAUAGAGAUGAGAGAGACAAUUUCUGUCCUCAAGGAAUUCCAACCAAGGAUGGAAACAGGAAAGUAAAAUGCAGAGAUGGCGGUUUACAGAACAUCCCAAUCAGAAUGAAAUGCUAGAGAAAGGACUGCUAACACAGUUUACAUUCAAGCACAGUCUGGAAAGACAAGCAGGAAUUAGCUUUGUGCAGAUCUGUAAGCAUAUCCUAGGUCAUAGAAUAGUCUGUACAGAACCACAGAGGCACAGAAUAACUUGGUGCUUUCUAGAAACUACAAAUAAUUGAGGAGAGCCUUAGUGGAAUGUGAUGGAUUUCAACCAGCAAAGUGGCUUGUUUGUUUGUAACAGCUUAGCCUGUUUCAGUUUGCCUCUUAGAAAGUUCACUGGUUGAUUGGGUAAAAGGUAGAUUGGAAAGGAGCCCUGGAGGUCAGGAGAUCACCAUGAUGGGAGAGUUGUUGGGAUAAAAGUGGUAGUUGAAGCUGUGAGUGGACGAGAGCAUCCAGGAAGAAUGUGUGAAGCUAUAAAGGGAACAAGGAUAGCUUAAAUCUGGGGAUACCAUGAUUGAAGGGUGAGCAGAGCAACCCUCAAAGGAAACAGAAAAGAAUUAGGCAGGA
Long non-coding RNA from Pipistrellus kuhlii (Kuhl's pipistrelle), 1162 nucleotides. RefSeq lists it as uncharacterized. The record is from RefSeq and is a predicted model, not a curated record. NCBI's taxonomy places the organism in Eukaryota, Metazoa, Chordata, Mammalia, Chiroptera, Vespertilionidae. The transcript is spliced from 2 exons.